RNAcentral lists this signal recognition particle RNA (88 nucleotides) under Mycoplasmataceae bacterium. Its description in RNAcentral is "signal recognition particle sRNA small type". It matches the Rfam family "Bacterial small signal recognition particle RNA". Rfam says of the family: The signal recognition particle (SRP) is a universally conserved ribonucleoprotein involved in the co-translational targeting of proteins to membranes. Archaeal SRP consists of a 7S RNA and homologues of the eukaryotic SRP19 and SRP54 proteins. In most bacteria, the SRP consists of a 4.5S RNA and the Ffh protein (a homologue of the eukaryotic SRP54 protein). The record is from RNAcentral. Lineage: Bacteria; Bacillati; Mycoplasmatota; Mollicutes; Mycoplasmatales; Mycoplasmataceae.
AUUGUCAUCAUAAUAUUAGUGGCGAACCGAGUUAGGCUGGAAACAGAGCAGCUCUAAGCUGAAUACUAAUAUGUAUGGUGACUUUUUU